CUUCUUCUUCUCUCUCACUCUGUCUCUCUGGUUGCUGUUGCAGCUUCUUCUCUCCUUGUUACAAGACAAUGAACAAAUCAGGGGCGCUUGUAAUGUGCUUUAUCGUUCUACUCAGUCUAUUCUAUUGGCUUGGGGAGAGCUGUGAACUUCACAACGACGAAUUUCCGAUGGAAGAACAGUGCACCACCGUAGCUUGCAAGGACUUCUGCGUCGAAAAAUUUCAAUUAAGAACCAUAAGGGCUGGAUGUGAUUGUGUUUCAACAGAAGCACAAACCACUUGCAAAUGCCUCUCUUCUUGCCCUUCCUAUAGUGAAGGUGAAACGGGAAAAGCUCAUAUAUGUCCAUACCAAUUGCUUAGCACAUAUAUUGCUUUGAUGCUAACAUAUCUCUACCUUUAGCUACUUAAUAUACCUAUAUGAAAACUGUUAAUUUAUGGGUUAAUUCAUUAUUUCCCUAACAUUAACCCAUGAUUGUUGCCUUUUAUCCUCUCUUUUUUUUUAUAUCAAAAUGCUAAGAGAUACAAAUUUCUUCAA
Molecule: long non-coding RNA, 533 nt
Organism: Telopea speciosissima
Lineage: Eukaryota; Viridiplantae; Streptophyta; Magnoliopsida; Proteales; Proteaceae
Exons: 2
Source: RefSeq, a predicted model, not a curated record